Molecule: small nucleolar RNA, 119 nt
Organism: Callorhinus ursinus (northern fur seal)
Lineage: Eukaryota; Metazoa; Chordata; Mammalia; Carnivora; Otariidae
Product: small nucleolar RNA SNORA15
Source: RefSeq, a predicted model, not a curated record
GCAUGGCUGAAUAAUACUGUGUCCUUUUAUCCAUAGUUUACACAGCCAGACACCUGUAAAUGCCUGUGAUGGUAUGGGGAGUUUCUCAUAGCUUAUCAUUUUCUAAAGUGGAUACAAAU